AAGUUUUCAAAGGUUUGGAAAAAAAAAAAUUUAAUCUGCUCUUCUUGAACAGAGAAGAAAAGUUAUCAGUGAAGAAAGAACAUUAACACUUUUCUCUUUUAAACUUGAAAUUCUUUUGAUUUAUAACAAUUUGACAAGAAAAGUGUUUCAAAAGAAGGAGAAUAAUUAUCAAUAACGAAUGAAAUAGCUUUCUCGUCGUGAAACUUGUAAAGCCAAGUAUUUCGGUAGCAUGGUUGUAGAAUCGGUGCGUCGGAUCUCUAUGCACAAUGAAUGCUGGCACAAGGAGUUACCGCAAUGGUGCCAUUUGCUGCCGGAAACGUUGACCAGGGUAUCGUAAAGAAGUUCAGAGAAGCCUCGAAAAUGCUCACUGGAAGACGACUUCUUUCCUUUGCGUGGCUGAAAGAAAUUGAAUUUACCGUUUCGCGAGAACCACUAAGAUCUAGCAACGUUCGAAUCUCGUGGCCAUCUUGGACCCAUCUUAGAGAAGCCAUUAAAGAGAAACGAAAUAGGCCACGUGGCAAACGAAUCCCUGAUGGAAUGUUAAAGUUCGACGUCCAUGAAAGGAAACCAUUUCUCAACCAACUCUUCGAACGGUAACGAUAGUAGAAGAAAAGAAGGGGCAUGAAGGAAGUUUCGCAGAAACGUAAUAACUCUGGCAAAGAUUAGACGGAUAAGGGGGAACCGUCAAGACGUCUACUUCGAGGAAUCUAAUUAAUCUUAAUCAAUAGAAGAAUUUAAUUCGUAAGAGUAAGUACGUCUAUCGCUUAGAAAUUAACGUUCAAUAAAUGAUCUGAAGGAGAUAGAGGAUCAAGGAGUGCGUCGUAAAGAUUUAUGGUUCAUGAAUCAACGUGAAGACACGAAACGUGGAAUCCAUCUUGGAAACUAUUGGAUGAAAGGAAGAAUGCUUGCACAUUGUCGACAGACACCAGGAACGAGAAUCUGAACAAGAUUAGGCUAGUUUCCAAGUCAACCGAAAGGACAGCCGUGCCACGCGACACUUUGCCGGCGACUGGUCCCUAAUGAUCGUUCGCAUUUGUCGAAUUUAAUUCCGGAUAUUCGAUUCCUAAAUGCCUCGGGGCGAGACGAAAGCCAGCUGCCGGUCGAAUCGAUUCGAACAUAUCCCUGCUGGAGUUCAAGGGGUUGGAUAGUUAUCGGAAACGUGGCUAAAAACGAUAGACUAUAGAAGACGGGAAUGAAAUACUAUCUUGACCCUGUUUACCAGCCAGUCGGCCUAUAGAUUCUUUGCUUAUGAGUCGCUUGUUUAAACUGAUAUCUGAUAACACAGUUUCCUUGAUCGCAAUCAUAUAGUAUCUACCAGUAUUACUCGAUAAUAUUUCAUCACUUGUCGCAUGUAGAUGUGGGUCGGUCAAUUAAUUAAAUUGGAUUUUUCUUCUUAAAAAAUAUGAUAUAAAUGAAUUAAAAAAAAAAAGAAUGUCGUUAUAGUCGAUAUAACUUACAUUCUGCUGCUACUUUUAUAUACAAACAAUUGUCGAAUUGCAUUUACAAAAAUUUUUUACUAUAUGAUUUAUAUUGUUUUUGUGAAAUAAUAUUCUGCAAGAUAACAUUUAUCUUAUAUAAUGUUAUUCGAUAAAUAUUUGUAAUAUCAUAUUGGCAAAUGAAUCAUUGCAUACAUUUAAUGAUUAUUGAUAUGUAAUGUACAAUAUAUAUUGAUAAAACAUAUGAUUACAGGGUGAAAAAUAAUUAACAAAAGCAAUGCAUAACGAAUAGUAGAGAUUGACAAGGCCAAGAAAUAGUUAAAGGAAUACUGGAAAUGCUCGCGCCUUGCGACAUUAAUCCAUUUUCAGAUAACCAUGCUCUCUGGUCGCUUAAACUGUUUCCUCUGUCGUCAGACAAAACGACAAGACAAUCGGAUCUUUUACGAAUUAUGCACAAUUAUGUCACGGUCGUGGAUAUUAAAAAUUUUUAAAUUUUGAAUAUCAUUUUCAAAUUUUUAUGUAAGCAUAAAAACGUCUAAUCGAUAGAAAUUGCGCAUGAACGAACAAUGCACUUUACGUUUAAUAGCGUUGUUAAAAAUUAUGAUUAUGAAUUGGAAAAUGGCUUGAAAGUUUUGAAACUAGAGGAGAAUCUUUAUAGUUCAACGGGUUAGAACAAAGAUAUUGAGAUCACAGUAUUUCUGACAACUAUCCACAUUGCAAAUGCUGCUCUUACAAACAAUAAUUAUAGAAAAUCAUGUAAGACAACAUAAAAACUCGAAUAUUUAUGAAAUCUCAUGAUAGACUGAGAAAUAAUGUACACAUCACAUAUUUUCAAUUUUGAAUAUCAUUUCACAUUCAACCCAUAUACAUUUCACGUGUUUACAAGUUGAUUCAACAAAAGAUUUCUUCCUUUUCAUUUUACAGAAUCUGCCUCGAUCAUUAAGCGAAGAUAAUCACGAUGGCGGACGCAUAACUUGAUCAAUCCUCGACGAUCUUGGCGAUGUAUUUUUUUUUUUCUUCUCCUUAUUUCUUUUCCUUAUUUCUCUCUCCCUUUUUAGUUCGCAGUUGCGCAAUCUUCCCCGUACUUUGAACGGUCUCGUUUUACCGUCUGCUCCGCUCCUUCGAGCAGAUUUAUUCUAUUUAUUCGCUCAACCUCGAGGGAAGUCGGCCGAUUACGUCGAAAUUCCUUCUCCAAAGCCCUCCGAAUCGACCUCUUUCCAAUCUUUCUCUCGCUCUUCCUUUUUUCCCCUCUCCUCCCUCUCUUUUUCUCUCUUCUAGCCAAGCUUUCGAGUGUUUACUCGCGUGUUCGAGUUCUGUCAGUAUCACACGCUCUCCGCCAAACAAAUCGAUCGUCUCCUAUCGCCGCCUCUUUUCGCCGAUUUUCGCCCGCCUUUCGACUCGACCGAUCCCCCGGGACCACGAAGCUUUUGCGGGUGAGAAAGGCAAGACCAGCAAGAUCAAUUCGAAGCAAUGAACGGUAUAUGCAUCGUUUCCACGAUACAACAAUACACGUAACAAAUGUUCUCUCACAAAUAUAAUAAGCGUCCACCUGAAAUAUACAAUCUAGAUAAAACGACAAAGUUAAAUUCUACUUACAUGUCCAAGGAUCAGCCACGUUGAACGACCGGCUUAGGUACGAAGUUCUCGUCGCCUGGUGCGAGGAGAAUCGGCUUGGCAACCGAUGGAGUCGCGCGUGUGAACGUCCCUCGACACACAACGUGCACGCUUAUCCGGGCUUCACAGCCGCGUCUUCCCUUCUAUUGCGACGUCGCACCUCCUCAUCUCGCCAUCACUUGUCCACGCAGAGAUUCUUCCUCACUUUCCUUCACUAAAAAUUCCAUCUGUCGUAUCUUCCUCCGAAAACACAAGAUA
RNAcentral lists this unclassified non-coding RNA (3308 nucleotides) under Apis florea (little honeybee). RNAcentral describes it as "uncharacterized LOC116414015, transcript variant X2". The record is from RNAcentral. Lineage: Eukaryota; Metazoa; Arthropoda; Insecta; Hymenoptera; Apidae.